GGGUUUACAACUACUGGUAUGAGGGUAGAAAACCACAGACUCCGCCGGGGAAAAGAUGGAUAAUUACUGGUUACUGAGCAAUUAUUCAUCUAAACUACGGGGAAGUGCAAGGAAAAAUCUCAAGAAGCCAAUCUAUGAAUAAACUAGAGAGGCACGAUGAAACCAGACUCAUCCCUAUGAGGAUAUAACUCAGGGGAAAUUCCAUCCAAUAUAUGUGUUGGGAGGAAAACAGAAACAAC
RNAcentral lists this long non-coding RNA (239 nucleotides) under Lathyrus oleraceus (garden pea). RNAcentral describes it as "Pisum sativum (pea) long non-coding RNA (PSAT_LNC026468)". Lineage: Eukaryota; Viridiplantae; Streptophyta; Magnoliopsida; Fabales; Fabaceae. The record is from RNAcentral.